AAUAAUUAUCUAAACAUAAGAACCAUAAAUAAAAUAGCAUGCAAUAAUAUCCGACAGUAACUACCAUAAAUAACUACCAUAAGGGAGACACAAUCCAAUACACAAAUCAUCUAUGGAUAGCCCUGCCAAGCCUCACCCAACCUCGGGUGCCGACAGUAACUACCAUAAAUAACUACCAUAAGGGAGAUACAGUCUAAUGCACAACCCCGGGUGAGGAGUACGAAAAACUCUAGGAGCCCCUAUCCUACGACCAUGAUACUAGACCUCCAGACUUUCCUAUCAAGGGCCAUGUCCUCGGAAACCCGAAUUCUAUCCAUGUCAUGCCUAAUCACCUCUCCCCAUUACCUCUUAGGCCUCCCUCUGCCUCGCCGUAUGCCGACCAUC
This 384-nucleotide long non-coding RNA is filed under the name Nicotiana benthamiana. RNAcentral's name for it is "long non-coding RNA (NBEN_LNC039668)". Lineage: Eukaryota; Viridiplantae; Streptophyta; Magnoliopsida; Solanales; Solanaceae. The record is from RNAcentral.